GUAAGGCCCUUCGGGGUACACGAGCGGCGAACGGGUGAGUAACACGUGAGCAACCUGCCCCUGACUCCGGGAUAAGCGGUGGAAACGCCGUCUAAUACCGGAUACGACCCGCCACCUCAUGGUGGAGGGUGGAAAGUUUUAUCGGUCAGGGAUGGGCUCGCGGCCUAUCAGCUUGUUGGUGGGGUAACGGCCUACCAAGGCGAUUACGGGUAGCCGGCCUGAGAGGGCGACCGGCCACACUGGGACUGAGACACGGCCCAGACUCCUGCGGGAGGCAGCAGUGGGGAAUAUUGCACAAUGGGCGAAAGCCUGAUGCAGCGACGCCGCGUGGGGGAUGACGGCCUUCGGGUUGUAAACCUCUUUUACCACCAACGCAGGCUCCACGUUCUCGUGGGGUUGACGGUAGGUGGGGAAUAAGGACCGGCUAACUACGUGCCAGCAGCCGCGGUAAUACGUAGGGUCCGAGCGUUGUCCGGAAUUAUUGGGCGUAAAGAGCUCGUAGGCGGCAUGUCGCGUCUGCUGUGAAAGACCGGGGCUUAACUCCGGUUCUGCAGUGGAUACGGGCAUGCUAGAGGUAGGUAGGGGAAACUGGAAUUCCUGGUGUAGCGGUGAAAUGCGCAGAUAUCAGGAGGAACACCGGUGGCGAAGGCGGGUUUCUGGGCCUUACCUGACGCUGAGGAGCGAAAGCAUGGGGAGCGAACAGGAUUAGAUACCCUGGUAGUCCAUGCCGUAAACGUUGGGCGCUAGGUGUGGGGACUUUCCACGGUUUCCGCGCCGUAGCUAACGCAUUAAGCGCCCCGCCUGGGGAGUACGGCCGCAAGGCUAAAACUCAAAGGAAUUGACGGGGGCCCGCACAAGCGGCGGAGCAUGUUGCUUAAUUCGACGCAACGCGAAGAACCUUACCAAGGUUUGACAUCACCCGUGGACCUGUAGAGAUACAGGGUCAUUUAGUUGGUGGGUGACAGGUGGUGCAUGGCUGUCGUCAGCUCGUGUCGUGAGAUGUUGGGUUAAGUCCCGCAACGAGCGCAACCCUUGUUCCAUGUUGCCAGCACGUAAUGGUGGGGACUCAUGGGAGACUGCCGGGGUCAACUCGGAGGAAGGUGGGGACGACGUCAAGUCAUCAUGCCCCUUAUGUCUUGGGCUGCAAACAUGCUACAAUGGCCGGUACAAUGGGCGUGCGAUACCGUAAGGUGGAGCGAAUCCCUUAAAGCCGGUCUCAGUUCGGAUUGGGGUCUGCAACUCGACCCCAUGAAGGUGGAGUCGCUAGUAAUCGCGGAUCAGCAACGCCGCGGUGAAUACGUUCCCGGGCCUUGUACACACCGCCCGUCACGUCAUGAAAGUCGGCAACACCCGAAACUUGUGGCCUAACCC
RNAcentral lists this ribosomal RNA (1371 nucleotides) under Nocardiopsis sp. FXJ8.039. Its description in RNAcentral is "bacterial SSU rRNA". It matches the Rfam family "Bacterial small subunit ribosomal RNA", at positions 69 to 1441 of the family's 1533-position model. RNAcentral also lists the same sequence under 1 other name. Lineage: Bacteria; Bacillati; Actinomycetota; Actinomycetes; Streptosporangiales; Nocardiopsidaceae. The record is from RNAcentral.